GAGGAAUAUUGGUCAAUGGGUGCAAGCCUGAACCAGCCAUCCCGCGUGAAGGACGACUGCCCUAUGGGUUGUAAACCUCUUUUGUAUAGGGAUAAACCUACCCUCGUGAGGGUAGCUGAAGGUACUAUACGAAUAAGCACCGGCUAACUCCGUGCCAGCAGCCGCGGUAAUACGGAGGGUGCAAGCGUUAUCCGGAUUUAUUGGGUUUAAAGGGUCCGUAGGCGGACUUAUAAGUCAGUGGUGAAAGCCUGUCGCUUAACGGUAGAACUGCCAUUGNUACUGUAAGUCUUGAGUAUAUUUGAGGUAGCUGGAAUAAGUAGUGUAGCGGUGAAAUGCAUAAAUAUUACUUAGAACACCAAUUGCGAAGGCAGGUUACCAAGAUAUAACUGACGCUGAGGGACGAAAGCGUGGGGAGCGAACA
RNAcentral lists this ribosomal RNA (421 nucleotides) under uncultured bacterium. RNAcentral's name for it is "bacterial SSU rRNA". It matches the Rfam family "Bacterial small subunit ribosomal RNA", at positions 356 to 774 of the family's 1533-position model. The record is from RNAcentral.